CUUUCAUCUUUUUCUAAUUUGCUAUCUGUCUGUGUUUUUAUUUUGUCUCCGUCUUGUAUCCCCGCCUUUUGGGUGAAAGUAGGUAGGCUAGCAUUCAAGAUAAACAGAGCAGCUUCAUUUUUCCAGACCGAGCAAAUUGAAGGUUGACUUUCUUUGAUCCGUUGCACAGAAAUCCUUUCGAAUAUCUUACUAAGAUGAGACCGAAGAUUUAUCUCUUUGGUGACUCAAUCACUGAAGAAUCCUUUGGUGAUUCCGGCUGGGGUGCUUCUCUUGCUCAUCAUUUUUCUCGCUCGGUUGAUGUAAUGCUGAGAGGAUACAGUGGGUACAAUACUAGAUGGGCUUUGAAGGUAAUCCAUAGGGUUUUCCCAGCGGUGGAAAGUGAGGAGCCGCCAUUGGCUGUAACGGUGUUCUUUGGAGCUAACGACGCUUCACUUCCCGAUAGAUCCUCUUCUUUCCAACAUGUGCCGCUUGAUGAAUACAAGCAAAAUCUCCGCUCCAUUGUCUUCAUUCUUAAGAGCAGGUGGCCAACGACCUCCAUUCUUCUCAUAACUCCUCCUCCGAUUGAUGAAGAUGGGCGUCUCAGGUAUCCUUUCAUUGAGGAUCCGACGGGCUUGCCUGAGAGGACAAAUGAAGCUGCCGGUGCUUAUGCCAAGGCAUGUUCUGCUGUUGCUAGUGAAUGUGGUAUUCCAGUGAUAGAUCUUUGGAGCAAAAUGCAAAAGUUUCCAGGAUGGCAGAAGUCUUGUCUAAGCGAUGGUUUACACCUCACUCGGACAGGUAACAGGAUUGUGUUUGACGAAGUGGUUGAGGCAUUAAGAGGUCAAGGCUUGAGUGCUGAAAAAUUACCAGUUGAUCUGCCACUUCUUGCGGAAAUUGACCCUCUUGACUCCCUUAAGGCUUUUGACAACUAGGAUGAUUCUAGGCUCAUGCCAUUGAAAUUGCGGUACUUGAAUCAUCAAAGUGUUUCUUAAUUAGUACUUCCCUUGUAUAAAGGUUUGUGCAUUAUGUUUAAGGGGGUUGACAUAUUUAGUGAGAUGAUUGUUUCUAUGCAGGAAAAUUGUUUUAGUUUUUUAAGAAAUAGUUCACCUGGUUUACUUGCAAAAUCCCUGGGUAAGAGUACUAGGAUCAUUGCUUUCCUGAAUGAUCGAAGCAACCCAAGAGGGAAAGAGGUGAUCGGUUUUCUCAAAUUUUCGCUAAUUUAGCUCACGUGUUUAUUUAAUCUUCUGAAGUCACCAUUUGAGAAUUUCAUUAAUAAAUUUUACGGUUACAUCCGAUUGUUUUUGCUAAGGUUGACAAGCAUGUCUCUCACAAUGCUUAUUAUUCUUGGUGUUAAAUUAACUCUUAACGUACUUAUUCAUUUCAAGUUCGAGAAAUUACACCUUUCGCAAUAUUUAUUUUACUCAAAAUCGGAAAACUACACCAUUUACAAUAUUUGUUUUACUUAAAGUCAGACAAGCUGCACCUUUGCAAGUGUUCACUAAACACUUUUUGCUCAAAAGAGUUCUGCUUCCUUUCCAAAGUACAAACCAUGGCAACCUUUUGGAACAAAGAAUUACCACCAAUAGGCAGGAAAGGAUGAUUGAUUUGGGCGUUCACAUGCAUACCUCAAAGCCAAGAUCAUUGAAGAACUUCAUGAGAGCUCCGCAAGAAAAUCAAUGGCGAUCGAAGAGGACGAUUUUCAAUGCAGCUAAACAACAGCAGGAUCAAAGUAAGACACAGUAAAGACUUGAGGUUAAUCAUUGAAAUGCAUUCUCUUCUUCUUUGGUCUUUGUAUGGUUUUCUUACAAGUUUUCAAGACUGUAUUUAUAGACAGGUCUUGAUCUUAACUUUUUCUGAAUCAUAAAUUAUAAUGAUCAACUUUCCGCCGUUGUUUGACGCGGACUCCUGACUGCAUA
Carica papaya (papaya) is the source of this 1892-nucleotide non-coding RNA. The record is from RefSeq and is a predicted model, not a curated record. NCBI's taxonomy places the organism in Eukaryota, Viridiplantae, Streptophyta, Magnoliopsida, Brassicales, Caricaceae.